RNAcentral lists this ribosomal RNA (446 nucleotides) under uncultured bacterium. RNAcentral describes it as "bacterial SSU rRNA". It matches the Rfam family "Bacterial small subunit ribosomal RNA", at positions 335 to 802 of the family's 1533-position model. The record is from RNAcentral.
ACUCCUACGGGAGGCAGCAGUGGGGAAUCUUGGACAAUGGGCGCAAGCCUGAUCCAGCCAUGCCGCGUGAGUGACGAAGGCCUUAGGGUCGUAAAGCUCUUUCAGCUGUGAAGAUAAUGACGGUAGCAGCAGAAGAAACCCCGGCUAACUCCGUGCCAGCAGCCGCGGUAAUACGGAGGGGUUAGCGUUGUUCGGAAUUACUGGGCGUAAAGCGCGCGUAGGCGGAUUAGUCAGUCAGAGGUGAAAUCCCAGGGCUCAACCCUGGAACUGCCUUUGAUACUGCUAGUCUUGAGUUCGAGAGAGGUGAGUGGAAUUCCGAGUGUAGAGGUGAAAUUCGUAGAUAUUCGGAGGAACACCAGUGGCGAAGGCGGCUCACUGGCUCGAUACUGACGCUGAGGUGCGAAAGCGUGGGAGCAAACAGGAUUAGAUACCCUGGUAGACUGUCA